CCUUAGUAACGGCGAGUGAAGCGGCAAAAGCUCAAAUUUGAAAUCGGCCUCCAGGUCGAGUUGUAAUUUGUAGAUUGUAUCUUGAGAGCGGAUUAAAGUCUGUUGGAACACAGCGCCUUAGAGGGUGACAGCCCCGUAAAAUCUAUUCUCAUUGUAAGAUACUUUCGAAGAGUCGAGUUGUUUGGGAAUGCAGCUCUAAGUGGGAGGUAAAUUCCUUCUAAAGCUAAAUAUUGACGAGAGACCGAUAGCGAACAAGUACUGUGAAGGAAAGAUGAAAAGCACUUUGAAAAGAGAGUGAAAAAGUACGUGAAAUUGUUAAAAGGGAAGGGUAUUGAAUCAGACUUGGUGCUGUUGUUCAACUGUGUUUCGGCAUAGUGUACUCAGCAGUACUAGGCCAAGGUGGGGUGUUUGGGAGUGAAAAAGAAGUAGGAAGGUAACUCUUCGGAGUGUUAUAGCCUACUUUCAUAGCUCCUCAGGCGCCUCAGGACUGCGCUUCGGCAAGGACCUUGGCAUAAUGAUUCUAUACCGCCCGUCUUGAAACACGGACCAAGGAGUCUAACGUCUAUGCGAGUGUUUGGGUGUAAAACCCGUACGCGUAAUGAAAGUGAACGUAGAUAGGAGCAGUAAUGCGCACUAUCGACCGAUCCUGAAGUUUUCAGAUGGAUUUGAGUAAGAGCAUAGCUGUUGGGACCCGAAAGAUGGUGAACUAUGCCUGAAUAGGGUGAAGCCAGAGGAAACUCUGGUGGAGGCUCGUAGCGGUUCUGACGUGCAAAUCGAUCGUCGAANUUUGGGUAUAGGGGCGAAAGACUAAUCGAACCCAUCUAGUAGCUGG
RNAcentral lists this ribosomal RNA (832 nucleotides) under Geotrichum sp. RNAcentral's name for it is "partial large subunit ribosomal RNA". It matches the Rfam family "Eukaryotic large subunit ribosomal RNA", at positions 78 to 954 of the family's 3401-position model. The record is from RNAcentral. Lineage: Eukaryota; Fungi; Ascomycota; Dipodascomycetes; Dipodascales; Dipodascaceae.